This 616-nucleotide ribosomal RNA is filed under the name Margelopsis haeckelii. RNAcentral describes it as "partial large subunit ribosomal RNA". It matches the Rfam family "Bacterial large subunit ribosomal RNA", at positions 1837 to 2623 of the family's 2925-position model. The record is from RNAcentral. Lineage: Eukaryota; Metazoa; Cnidaria; Hydrozoa; Anthoathecata; Margelopsidae.
UUAUAUAAAUUAAAGGUGAUACCUGCCCAGUGAUAAGAAAAUUAAAAUUAUAAUUAAAUUUAAAUCUUAUUAAACGGAUGCGGUAACUCUGACUGUAAUAAAGUAGCAUAAUAAGUUGUCAUUUAAUUGGUGAAAGGGAUGAAUGGUAAAACGAGCUUUUCAUUGUCUUAUUUAAAGAUUUUUUGAAAUUAAAAUAAUAGUGAAGAUUCUAUUUAAAAUCGUAAGACGAAAAGACCCUAUAGAGCUUUACUAUAAUUUUUUUUAGGUUAAUGAAAUUUUCAUGAAUUAAAUAAAUAUUGGUAGUUUAGUUGGGGCGACUGUUUUUUAUAUUUAACAAAAACAAGCAAUGUUAAUAAUUUAACUUAUUGUAUAACUAAAAAUUUUAACAAUUAUAAUAAUAGGCUAUAAUGACCCGUUAAUUUUUAUAAAUCAAUUUAACGAUUAAUUAAUAAAAGCUACCUUAGGGAUAACAGGAUAAUUUUGUUUUAGAGUUCUUAUCAAUUUCAAAGUUUGUCACCUCUAUGUUGAAUUAAGAUAUCCCAAUAAUGCAGAAGUUAUUAAAGGUAGGUCUGUUCGACCUUUAAAAUCUUACAUGAUUUGAGUUCAUUCCGUCGUA